This 407-nucleotide ribosomal RNA is filed under the name uncultured bacterium. RNAcentral describes it as "partial 16S ribosomal RNA". It matches the Rfam family "Bacterial small subunit ribosomal RNA", at positions 30 to 526 of the family's 1533-position model. The record is from RNAcentral.
AUUGAACGCUGGCGGCAGGCCUAACACAUGCAAGUCGAGCGGAGCGGCGGACGGGUGAGUAAUGCCUAGGAAUCUGCCUGGUAGUGGGGGAUAACGUCCGGAAACGGGCGCUAAUACCGCAUACUAUCAGAUGAGCCCAAGUGGGAUUAGGUAGUUGGUGAGGUAAAGGCUCACCAAGCCGACGAUCUCUAGCUGGUCUGAGAGGAUGACCAGCCACACUGGGACUGAGACACGGCCCAGACUCCUACGGGAGGCAGCAGUGGGGAAUAUUGCGCAAUGGGGGCAACCCUGACGCAGCCAUGCCGCGUGAAUGAAGAAGGCCUUCGGGUUGUAAAGUUCUUUCGGUAGCGAGGCGUUAACUACAGAAGAAGCACCGGCUAACUCCGUGCCAGCAGCCGCGGUAAUAC